RNAcentral lists this ribosomal RNA (785 nucleotides) under Paraphoma sp. Z-1. RNAcentral's name for it is "eukaryotic LSU rRNA". It matches the Rfam family "Eukaryotic large subunit ribosomal RNA", at positions 90 to 894 of the family's 3401-position model. Lineage: Eukaryota; Fungi; Ascomycota; Dothideomycetes; Pleosporales; Phaeosphaeriaceae. The record is from RNAcentral.
CGAGUGAAGCGGCAACAGCUCAAAUUUGAAAUCUGGCUCUUUCAGAGUCCGAGUUGUAAUUUGCAGAGGGCGCUUUGGAGUUGGCAGCGGUCCAAGUUCCUUGGAACAGGACGUCACAGAGGGUGAGAAUCCCGUACGUGGUCGCUAGCCUUCGCCGUGUAAAGCCCCUUCGACGAGUCGAGUUGUUUGGGAAUGCAGCUCUAAAUGGGAGGUAAAUUUCUUCUAAAGCUAAAUACUGGCCAGAGACCGAUAGCGCACAAGUAGAGUGAUCGAAAGAUGAAAAGCACUUUGGAAAGAGAGUCAAAUAGCACGUGAAAUUGUUGAAAGGGAAGCGCUUGCAGCCAGACUUGCCUGUAGUUGCUUAUCCGGACUCUUGUCCGGUGCACUCUUCUAUAGGCAGGCCAGCAUCAGUUUGGGCGGUUGGAUAAAGGUCUCUGUCACGUACCUCUCUUCGGGGAGGCCUUAUAGGGGAGACGACAUGCAACCAGCCUGGACUGAGGUCCGCGCAUCUGCUAGGAUGCUGGCGUAAUGGCUGUAAGCGGCCCGUCUUGAAACACGGACCAAGGAGUCUAACAUCUAUGCGAGUGUUUGGGUGUCAAGCCCAGACGCGUAAUGAAAGUGAACGGAGGUGGGAACCCUUUGGGUGCACCAUCGACCGAUCCUGAUGUCUUCGGAUGGAUUUGAGUAAGAGCAUGGCUGUUGGGACCCGAAAGAUGGUGAACUAUGCUUGAAUAGGGUGAAGCCAGAGGAAACUCUGGUGGAGGCUCGCAGCGGUUCUGACGUGC